This 498-nucleotide ribosomal RNA is filed under the name uncultured bacterium. Its description in RNAcentral is "partial 16S ribosomal RNA". It matches the Rfam family "Bacterial small subunit ribosomal RNA", at positions 30 to 523 of the family's 1533-position model. The record is from RNAcentral.
AUUGAACGCUGGCGGAAUGCUUUACACAUGCAAGUCGAACGGCAGCACGGGGCAACCUGGUGGCGAGUGGCGAACGGGUGAGUAAUACAUCGGAACGUGCCCAGUCGUGGGGGAUAACGUAGCGAAAGAUACGCUAAUACUGCAUACGAUCUAAGGACGAAAGCGGGGGAUCGCCAGACCUCGCGCGAUUGGAGCGGCCGAUGUCAGAUUAGGUAGUCGGUGGGGUAAAGGCCCACCAAGCCGACGAUCUGUAUCUGGUCUGAGAGGACGACCAGCCACACUGGGACUGAGACACGGCCCAGACUCCUACGGGAGGCAGCAGUGUGGAAUUUUGGACAAUAGGCGCAAGCCUGAUCCAGCCAUUCCGCGUGCAGGAUGAAGGCCUUCGGGUUGUAAACUGCUUUUGUACGGAGCGAAAAGGCUCUCUCUAAUACAGGGGGCUCAUGACGGUACCGUAAGAAUAAGCACCGGCUAACUACGUGCCAGCCGCCGCGGUAA